UUGGUCAAUGGCCGAAAGGCUGAACCAGUAACUUGGAAGAAUGUAUAUGUAAUUGUAUCAAUACAUUCGCGAUUAACUCGCAUAAAAUUCUAAAUAGAUUGUAUAUAAUGACAUAAUCUAUUUAUAAGUCUUGACCAAACUACGUGCCAGCAGUCGCGGUAAUACGUAGGAGGCUAGUGUUAGUUAUCUUUAUUGGGUUUAAAGGGUAAGUAGACGGUAAAUUAAACUCUAAACGAGUACUUUUUUACUUGAGUUAUAUGAGAGAAGGAAGAAUUUCUGGAGUAGAGAUAAAAUUUGAUGAUACCAGGAGGACUGUCAACGGCGAAGGCGUCCUUCUAUGUAAUAACUGACGUUGAGAGACGAAGGCUUGGGUAGCAAACAGGAUUAGAUACCCUAAUAGUCCAAGCAGACAAUGAUGAAUGUCAUACAUUAGAUAUAAAUUUAAUGUAUAAACGAAAGUGUAAGCAUUCCACCUCAAGAGUACUAUGGCAACAUAUAAACUGAAAUCAUUAGACCGUUUCUAAAACCAGUAGUGAAGUAU
Molecule: ribosomal RNA, 541 nt
Filed under: Penicillium griseofulvum
Lineage: Eukaryota; Fungi; Ascomycota; Eurotiomycetes; Eurotiales; Aspergillaceae
Description: SSU rRNA
Rfam family: Bacterial small subunit ribosomal RNA
Source: RNAcentral